AGCCGCUUUAGCUCAGUUGGUAGAGCGCAUCCAUGGUAAGGAUGAGGUCGACGGUUCAAGCCCGUCAAGUGGCUU
RNAcentral lists this transfer RNA (75 nucleotides) under Enterococcus gallinarum. RNAcentral describes it as "tRNA-Thr(ggt)". It matches the Rfam family "tRNA". Rfam says of the family: Transfer RNA (tRNA) molecules are approximately 80 nucleotides in length. Their secondary structure includes four short double-helical elements and three loops (D, anti-codon, and T loops). Further hydrogen bonds mediate the characteristic L-shaped molecular structure. tRNAs have two regions of fundamental functional importance: the anti-codon, which is responsible for specific mRNA codon recognition, and the 3' end, to which the tRNAs corresponding amino acid is attached (by aminoacyl-tRNA synthetases). tRNAs cope with the degeneracy of the genetic code in two manners: having more than one tRNA (with a specific anti-codon) for a particular amino acid; and 'wobble' base-pairing, i.e. permitting non-standard base-pairing at the 3rd anti-codon position. Lineage: Bacteria; Bacillati; Bacillota; Bacilli; Lactobacillales; Enterococcaceae. The record is from RNAcentral. RNAcentral also lists the same sequence under 1 other name.